UCCCCCUUACCCUCAUUCAGUUAUCCUCUCCACCCUUUAAUCUUUCGCAUUCGUAAAGGUCCUUUCAACCUCUCAAUUUCCUCCAUUUCAUCACUUCUGGUGAAAUGGAUGCUAAUUGAUGAGACUAGGUUAGGUGUUGAUUUGAGAUCAAAGUUUUAUUAUUACAGAGACACUCAUGAAAUUUGUUCACUUUGGAUGGAAUAACGAGUUUGAAUAUGCUCCAACAAGCAAGGAAAUUCAAUGAGUGAAGUUUGUAGGUGUUGGAGGAGUGGAAGAUCUUUAGCCUUAUGAGGUAAAAGCUUUUGUUAAUGCCAAUUUGUCAUGAAGAAAAAGGUUAGUUUCCUUCACUGUUUUACAGAUUAAAAUUGAUGUUCCAACAUACUAUUACCUAAAGUGUGAUGCAAUUUUUAUAUAACAUUCGAAAUAACGUAUAUUUAGUUUGAUAAAACAAGGUGACCGACACCUGUUAGUCUAAUGUUGUUAUACUUGCAUCGUUUUUCAUGUUAAAUUUGUUUUGUGAAUUGAUGAAAGAGAUAGGCUACGGAGGAGUUGAAUACUAGACAAUGACAUUGUAAGUUUAGGCAAAAUUCUACCAUGUUAAGGUUGGGGAAAGAGUAGAGAAAUACUCGGUCGCGGAUAUGGAUGAAGAGUUUGGUCAUACUAAAAAUGUAAGUUCAUGCUGUACAUGGCUGGCUACUUGAGAAGCCUGGCUUGGUUUGUUGGGGGAAGAGUAGAGGAAUACUCGGCUCAAAAAAAGUUUUGCCACAAGGUGUUACAUUUGGUCUUUGGUUGGGAGAAAAGUAGAGGAAUACUCGGCUGCAAAUAUGGACGGCGUUCGCGAUGAUUGGCCGACUUAUGCAGCUACCUCUAUUGUUAAGUGAAACCAUAUUUUAGGUGUUGACGAAUGUAUUGACAAACAAUCUUUUUGUUAACGUUAACAUAUCUGUAAUAUACUUGCAUAUGAUUAUGUAAUGGGUUGUUUUGGUAUAUAUAUGUGUAUUUGUUUUAUGAAA
Helianthus annuus (common sunflower) is the source of this 1013-nucleotide long non-coding RNA. RefSeq lists it as uncharacterized. The record is from RefSeq and is a predicted model, not a curated record. The transcript is spliced from 6 exons. NCBI's taxonomy places the organism in Eukaryota, Viridiplantae, Streptophyta, Magnoliopsida, Asterales, Asteraceae.